ACAUGUAAGGGAGUUUUGACUGUGACAUCUGUCGUACUAUUGAUUGCCGGGGUUGACUCAGCUGAUCUGGCUAACUAGGUACAUACCUCCCUUCCUUCUUUACUCUAUGUUUUUCUCUGCUGAGAUUGCACUUGAUUGGAGAGGAUGACCUUCCCCAAAUGGAGACUGACCUUUUUUCUAUGUACAGGAGUAGCUGUGUUCCCUUGCUAAAACUUACUUCAACCAAGGUCUCAAUGUAUUUUGCAUCUAGUGUUCUCACCAUUCAUAGUUUUAAUUAAUAUGUUGCCAAGUUAA
Erinaceus europaeus (western European hedgehog) is the source of this 294-nucleotide non-coding RNA. The record is from Rfam. Lineage: Eukaryota; Metazoa; Chordata; Mammalia; Eulipotyphla; Erinaceidae.